This is a long non-coding RNA of Brassica napus (rape), 1401 nucleotides long. RefSeq lists it as uncharacterized. NCBI's taxonomy places the organism in Eukaryota, Viridiplantae, Streptophyta, Magnoliopsida, Brassicales, Brassicaceae. The transcript is spliced from 5 exons. The record is from RefSeq and is a predicted model, not a curated record.
UGCCGUUUGUCGUUUGGGCUGUUUCUUCGUUAUGUGUACGUACAAUCCUAUUGGGCUUAGGUUAAGGGAGUGAUUUGGCCCAGUCAACUAUAGUAUGUGGUAACCCUAAUUUUUUUUUGUCAAAAAAUCAAAUCUGUUCAUCCCUUCUCUCCCUUAUUCGGCGACGAUGACGGUAGAACUUCCUCAACGUCCAUGAAACGGGUCUGUGAUUAAUCCCAUCAAUUGAGAGGUCGGGUAUAAAUAGUCCGGCAAGUGUUCUGCUGCGAUUCUGGGAGGCCAGGAAUGUCAGGCGCUCAUGUGGCUUGAUAUGCUGAUGGUGGAUGUUAAUAUUUAGAUGUAUCACUUGGAAAUAUAUUCUCUUCCCUGAAACAAAGAAUAUCACCAUUAUUUGUUUCCAGAGGCUGAUAAGAUCAAAGACUGAAACCAAAGGUUAUCAACCACGCUGAUACAUUUAGAUCGGUUUCAGACAAUGAAACCAAACUUCAGGAAGAGAAAGUUUGAAAGUUGAUCCCAGCUGGAGUCUCCAGCGUUGUUGUCUCCUACAGCGUUCAAAGGUUUCAGGAGAGAUUGUUGGAUCCAAGAGAAGCAAGCAGGAUUAAGCUGAGCUUAAUAUAGAAGUGUAAGUGGGAUAUUACAUUGUUGAAGAUGAUUCUUAAAUGUAUCAGUGUGGUUGUCUCCAACCGAUCUUAAGCCAGUUGAUUGGUAGCCUUGAGGUGUCAAUCGAUACAAAGCUUCAAACAUCCGCUAUGAAUGUUGACAAUAUUUAUUUUAGCCACUAUGUCUCUCUUACAAUCAUGGUUUAGUUGUUUGUCAAUAAUAUAUGUUUAUGCUGUGUUGGUUGUUGUUAAAAGAUCUGUUUCUCUAAACCCAUCAUUAACAUUGCUGAUUUUGGACUGGCAGGUGUGGUUAAUCAGGGUUCACAUUUAUAGAGUAUGUUGUUAUACGCCGGUCAAGAUUUGAUUCCCUUUUUUUGUUGCAAUGUCUCUUUUAGAAUAUCAAUACAUGUGUAUAUAUGUACUUCAGUUACCCAUAUGUCGAUUAGUUGACACACCAUUGCUGCCUUACUGACUCUAAAAGCUUUGUUAUGAAGGUAAUCGGCACCUGAAGUACUUCUACAGUCCUAUGUAUACACAUUAAAAGUUGUGGCUCUGCUCUGGGAUCCAUGCAACAGACCGACUGAUGCAGAGGCUCUGUACGUUCCGUCCUUUCAGGUACACCAGAGAGUAUGUGCUUCAGACGCUAUGGCUGUUACCGUUCCUGUCUUGAUCAGUUGAUUUAACUUUUGUGUAUGAUGUUAAAUGUUUGCUUUGCAAUCUCUGUAGCUGCAGAGGCUCUGUACGUUCCGUCCUUUCUUUUACUGGACAUAUUUUUUUUUAAAGAUAAUAUUAACAAUUUAUGUUA